GAUCCUGGCUCAGGAUGAACGCUAGCUACAGGCUUAACACAUGCAAGUCGAGGGGCAGCAUGGUCUUAGCUUGCUAAGGCUGAUGGCGACCGGCGCACGGGUGAGUAACACGUAUCCAACCUGCCGUCUACUCUUGGCCAGCCUUCUGAAAGGAAGAUUAAUCCAGGGUGGGAUCAUGAGUUCACAUGUCCGCAUGAUUAAAGGUAUUUUCCGGUAGACGAUGGGGAUGCGUU
This 233-nucleotide ribosomal RNA is filed under the name uncultured bacterium. Its description in RNAcentral is "partial 16S ribosomal RNA". It matches the Rfam family "Bacterial small subunit ribosomal RNA", at positions 15 to 237 of the family's 1533-position model. The record is from RNAcentral.